RNAcentral lists this ribosomal RNA (425 nucleotides) under Escherichia coli. Its description in RNAcentral is "partial 23S ribosomal RNA". It matches the Rfam family "Bacterial large subunit ribosomal RNA", at positions 1 to 456 of the family's 2925-position model. The record is from RNAcentral. Lineage: Bacteria; Pseudomonadati; Pseudomonadota; Gammaproteobacteria; Enterobacterales; Enterobacteriaceae.
GGGUUGUGAGGUUAAGCGACUAAGCGUACACGGUGGAUGCCCUGGCAGUCAGAGGCGAUGAAGGACGUGCUAAUCUGCGAUAAGCGUCGGUAAGGUGAUAUGAACCGUUAUAACCGGCGAUUUCCGAAUGGGGAAACCCAGUGUGAUUCGUCACACUAUCAUUAACUGAAUCCAUAGGUUAAUGAGGCGAACCGGGGGAACUGAAACAUCUAAGUACCCCGAGGAAAAGAAAUCAACCGAGAUUCCCCCAGUAGCGGCGAGCGAACGGGGAGCAGCCCAGAGCCUGAAUCAGUGUGUGUGUUAGUGGAAGCGUCUGGAAAGGCGCGCGAUACAGGGUGACAGCCCCGUACACAAAAAUGCACAUGCUGUGAGCUCGAUGAGUAGGGCGGGACACGUGGUAUCCUGUCUGAAUAUGGGGGGACCAU